AGAGACAGGGAGGGGCCUAGGGUGGGGUGAGAGAGAGAAAAGAGACCAGACAUUGUACCGCUCAGGGCCCCAGCUUCCACCGAAUAUCGGGACCCCAGCCCUGGAAACCGGCCCUGAAUCUGAAUCGCACCGUCCUGCGAUGAUUCAUCUCCUCUCUGAGCCCGUGGUCCCACCCCUCUCGUCUAGACCUCCAGAGCUGGCCACCCCCGCUCUCGGCCGCGUUCUCCUUCCCCACUCGUCCGGGUUUCAGUGCAUUCAGCUGACCGGGUUAGGGGGCUGGAGGACAGGACAUCCCAAACCUCCCCUUGGCGAACCAAGCCCCUCCGUGAGUCCUGUCAGCUCCUCCCGGCCUCCUCACCCCCAGCAAGUCACCACUCCCAAGUUUAAAGCGAAGCCAACUGAGGAGCCCGGGACGGGGACAGGGCCGCUUCUGUCACGCCUUCCCCUGCUCUCCUUCUGGACGGGGGAGGGACGAGGUGACUUGGAAGAACAAUAGCGCCGGAGCCCCUUCUUCCAGCCUCGGGGAGAGCAGCAAGAGAAAGAAAGAGAGAGAGAGGCAAAUGAAAUUCCUGACUGGAUAGACAGAUGCUACGUCACGAGCUGCAUCCUCCACUCCACAAGAGGCCCGGAGCUGGGGGAGACGGGCAGUCCGGCCGCAGCAGGGCCCGCUGCUGCGCCUCUCCGCAGGAGCCUGGCAGCUGGGAAGGAGCAGCCUCAUCUGUUCCUCGUAUCCUCAGCGUCGUCGACGUCGGUGGCUACCUUUGGCUGUGGGCGAGCCGAGCCCUGUGUAGUUGGUGACAAUGGAACAGAACAUGGUAGCUUGGGAAGGGAAGGCUACCCUGGUCAAUCCUGUUACAGAAAGGAACGGCGGGGGGGUCUGGGGACUCUCCUCUCCCCGCAGACUCCUGAGGGCAGGGGGAGGCCAGUGGAGCUGGGGGAGGUGGUUGGCUGUGUGGGUGACAGGUGAGCAAAGACAGCCAUGAUGUUAGAGAUGAAUGGGCCCAAAGUCCCUGUGAGCAGGAGUGUGUGCCGGCACCCGGCCAGCCGCGCGUACCUGUGUCAGGAGGGCGGGGCCACUGCCGAGUACACGCGGGCUCGCCCUGCCUUUGUCGGAUUGAGUUUGGGUGUGUGUGCAUAUGCACACGCAUGGCACCCUUGCACACUCAUGCUUGUGCCCCUUAUGGAGGCCUUUUGAUGCGGGUAAGGGGUCUUGCAGAGAGGACCAGUCUGCAGGCACCAGCUUACCCUCUCCACCUCCACACCCUGUUCUCACUGCCCGGUGUGGUGGGGGCGCGGUGACAUGGGAGCAGGCAGGGAGGUGGUGUGGACAGCCAGGGCCCUCCACCCAAGGAUAAAGGCUCUGAGGGAAAGAAUGGUGGGCCCUGGACAGAACCCCUCCUCAGUUUCCCGUGCUCUCUAGCCUCAUCUGCAUGCAGAUAUACAUAUAAAUAUAUAUAUAUCUACAUUCACACAGCCUCACUGUAUUUUUUACUGCCACUUCCCACUUUUAUUUGUCCCAGUCCCAUAGACAAUGCAAAUAUUCUACAGCAAAAGAAUAAUGUAUGGUAAUGUUCAUGAUAAUGAUGCAUUCAUAAGACAGAAAUAAAUAUCUGCACCUAGCUGCUCUCAGAAGCAGCUUUCAUCUGUGUCUUUAAGGCAAAUUAAUCUGGUAAUUGAAGCAAAGAGAAAAUAUGCUUUUUAUUGAAUUACUUGAAUAUUUCAAGAGCGUGGUUUAAUGCCAAAAUGUGUUUUGGGACCCAGAUUAUAAAGAUCUGCCCCAAGCUCUGUCCGGGGUGCAUGAUUCUGGCCACAUUUUCUGCUCUAUGUCUCCGGGGUCCCCUUCGGGCAGAGACAGUAGGGUGGGCAGCUCAGGGUGCGGGGGGGGGCACAGGGAUUGGGGCACUCUCCCCAGAGCCCCCCAGAACUUCCCUGGAAGAGCUAGGGGUGAGGUCCAUGGGCCACCACUCUGAGGGAUCCCUGGCGAGCUAUGCCACGUGCUGCGGCCAAGGCCUUCCCAGAAAAACCGAGGCUGGCCUGGCGGCUGAUCCCGCAGCAGGGCGCCCACUUCGCUCAGGCUCUUGUCCUCCUUUGGGACUGCCCUGCUGCUUAGUGGUCUUCCCUACUCGGAGGAAGUGCGGGGCGGCCAUAACACAGCACCCACGGACACGAUGCCCCAGCCCCUCCCACCCUAUCUGCAAGUCCCACCGAAGGCACAGCUGCUCAACACCCGCUCCCCACCACAAAGCCCACAAUCACAGCACACAGGCCUGCAAGACUGUCACUUCCUGCCCCCACCGUGUCUGUCUCCGCAUUUUCUGCCCAGUUUGUCAUCCUUGUUUCCUCUGGGACAAAGAAUACGUCAGAAAUUGUCCCUGACCUCAAGAGCUGUCUCAGUUACCACCCUCCAGGUAGUUUCUUGUCUGAAAAGGGGAAAAACGUGGCUUGGCACGCCAACCAGUUCCAACCCCCUGAAGUGCCCAGUUCUCCGGGGCUUUUCUGGCUUCUGUCCCUGUCUCCGGACAGGCCAGAGCAGUGGGAACUGAGUUGCCCAGCAAACCCAGUCAAAAUCACAGGGAAAUGUACUUCACAGGAAGCUGAACAGAGUGGGGUUCCACGUGGAUGGAGCCUGGAAGUGUAGGCUGCCCGCUUCCCUGCGUGUGUGUGAGGAGGGUGGGCUCUCCCUAACCUGGACCUUCUGUCAGACUGAUCACCUCUCAGCGCUGGGACCACAGUGAAAGGCAGAAGUGUCUCGUGCUUUAUCUAGCUGCGUGGGGGAAUUUUGAUAUAUGUAUUUUGAGAAGUCUGCUAAAUACACCCAUUUCUCUCUUGACAUUAGUUUUUAAGGAAUUCCAAUUAAGUCUGAAUCUGGUGAGGGAGUCUCCACUAGGAAAAAACCAAAACAACUUUGUGUCCUGUCCUCUUCCCUCUGGACAAUAAUACAGCAAUGGCAGAAAGCUUGGCCUUGUAGUGCUGGAGAGGGGAAGCAGAGAAGAAGGGCUGAUCACUGCUUUAAGGAGGGCGGAAGGGAGAUACUUGUGGGGAAAGUUGCUGGUGUGUCUGGAGAGGUGCAGGCCCAAUUUGGAAUGCUGGAAGGUGGCUACUACUCAGUUUGCUGAAAAAUCUUUGAGGAGGCUGUCUGCCUGCUUGGAGAGAAAAGGCUGGAGUGCCCAUGUUUCUCUGGUAUACAAGGUGCAUUUGGAGAAUGCAUUGGCAGCAUGCUGGCUGGCAGGUCUGUCUGUGAGUGUCUAGGGAGGCUUCUCUUUUUUUUGGCACCUGUCCUGGAGGAACAGGGUCCUCCUAUGUAUUCUGAACUGCAAGGGCACCUGGGAGGGGACACUCUAUCCCUACCUGUCUCCUCUCCUCUCCGCUGGCCUGUGUGCCCCUGUUCUAGGGUGUCUGUGAAGUGUUGGCACUGCCAAAGCCUUCCCCUUGGGUAAGGGCCUGGAGACCCUGUGGAGCCCGAGAACACCCUGAGCUGGGGCACCCUGUGCCCUUUCUAGCAGGGAGCCUCAAGGGCCCUGGGCUUUCUCCCCACUCAGACUGAGCCCACCAUCCCCAGGAGCAGUGGUUAUUCGGUGUUCCGUCCUUGAGGGGCACACCUGGUUAAGCCACUGCCUUUUCGCUUGGCUCUGAUCAGGGUGGGCAGCAUUCCAGCUUGGCUUUGUCCUGGGGUGGGCACACACACAGACAAAACCACCUGAGCAGGCCUGAGGAUCCACAGUGGUCGCCUGGAGUGCACCCACUCUCAGAACCACCUAACUUCAAAGACCCAAGGUCACAGAAACGACCUGCAUUAACCCCGCCCACAGGCUCCUGACGUAGGAGCCUUAGUCUCUUAGGGGAGAGGAAGGAUGGGGUGUCUGCGCCCUGGCGGGGCAGCAGCUCCGAGGAGCCCAGGGAUUGCGCUCUAGAUCCUCCUCCAGCAGCCUGAAUCUGCAAUCUGCUGCUAGCUGCCAUGUGCCACCCAAGGCUGAGACAGUACUCGAUUUAGACUUCACUGGCCUGCAGAGGUGAACCAGGAAUGCUCUGCUGAGCCAGGUGGGAGGCAGGACUGGGGAGUCGGACCGAGGGAGCCUUGAGGAGGAGUCCCAGACUGCCAGAAUCUGCCCCACUGUUUUGAGCUGAAAACUAGAGGUUCCUCUUCAUUCCAAAGUUUCUGACCUGAACUGGGGCGGGUGGGUGCCCCACCACCCUCCCGCCCUCUCUCCUUGCUGUGGAUGACAGAGCCACGUCCAGCACCACGGACAGCUCCCGCGGAAAUUCUACAGCCUUACUUAUUGUCUUGGGAAGUCCUUCCCAGUGUCUGACCAAGGCCUGCACUGCUGUAGCACCAGUUCUUUGACCUGUGCUUGACAGGCUGAGUGGAGAGAAGUCAGUGCCCCGGAGUGUUCUGAGUAGGAGAGGCUCCCCUUCCCGUCAGCAACCCCAAGAGGAACAGGAGGAAUAGUCCUCCAGGAUUUCUGGCGGGGCCCCUUUGGAAGCCAGCCUUUCCCACUCCACCGCUCGCGCUAGUGAGUGAGUUCCGGCAGAGUCCCUGGGAGACCCUGGAACCCGACAGAAGGCGGAGAAUGGUUACCUUGACCUCGAGGGGCGUCUAGAGGAGCCAGCUUUGUCCAGGGGACCCUGAAUGAGCAGCAGGAGAAGUCAAAGCCUCAAGGGAGACGUGUCAACGGAGAGGGACCGUGGCUCUCCCAGAGUAACCGGAGCAGUAAAUGAGGCCGAGCUACAGAUGGGUCUUCGUGGACCCCAGGGUGUGGGCGCCCUCCCUCCCCAGCUGACUUCCUGUGGAUGCGGAAGAGAGGACAGACGGCCUCCGCUGUGUCUGUGGUCCCUGCAGGAGGAGGCCUGCACUGAGGCAGAGGCCGUAGGAGCUGGGAGUCGCCCCAGCCCACUCAGGACCAAAGGUAGAGGCAGCUACUUCGUUCAGCUGGCCUGGGUUCCUCCAAGAAGCCUUCCUGGACUGGCUAAAACAUGAGGUUCAGCCCCAGCAGGCUGAAGUUGAUGCAAGCCGAGCGGGAGUAGGGAGGGCCCAGCCCCAGCCUGGACAGCCCGAGCCCCCCGGACAUCGGGAAUCAAACCUUGCUUGACCUGUUGCUCCUGCGUCCAGCAGCUGCCCAUCUUGGCCCAUCAGCCUACCCUGUCAUCUCACCUGCGACACCCAUGUCCUCAGAGAGCGAAUCCGGUCUCAUGUUCUAAUAAAAUCUCUUGACCAUCCCGUGACGGCAGUGGGCAAGCCUCCAGGAUGCCAGGACACCUAGGGGGGCUCCUCCCACCCUCUGGGCUUCUGCAAACCCCGCCGGUGACCUGAUCCCUCCCAGCUCAGCCAUGGAUGGAUGCUCCCACCUGAGGAAGCACCUGGGACCAAGCCCAAGACCGAGAGAACCGGAGAGGGUGUGCUCCCCGAGGCACGUAGGGGAGACGGGGCCCCGUGUCCUCCACGAGAUGCCCCUCAGACUCUGGGUCUGCACCGUGCACAGAGCAGCAGCACCAGGUCCCUCAGGCGCCCACCUGCCUCCUCUCCAUCUGUGCCCAGUGGAAGUAGGAGGGGAGGAUGUGACAGCAGAGAGGACUAAGACCUCGGAGUGAACACGGGGUCGGAGGGCAGAGGCCACAGCAAGAAAUCAGAACUGAACUGGCACAGUGCUGCAUACCUGCAAUCCCAGAUCCCUGGGAGUCCGAGGCAAGACAUUGAAAACUUGAGGCCAGCCUGGGCAACCUAAUGAGAUCUUGUCUCAAAGGCUUUAUUUUUGUUCACUUAGUUUUGUCGUUGUUGUUUGAGACAGGGUCUCUAGGCAGUGCGAGUUAGUCUUGAGCUCCCUCUGUAGCUCAGGCUAGCCUCUUGUGACAAUCCUCCUGCCUCGGCCUCCCAAGCAUUUAGAUUA
Fukomys damarensis (Damara mole-rat) is the source of this 5882-nucleotide long non-coding RNA. RefSeq lists it as uncharacterized. The record is from RefSeq and is a predicted model, not a curated record. The transcript is spliced from 10 exons. NCBI's taxonomy places the organism in Eukaryota, Metazoa, Chordata, Mammalia, Rodentia, Bathyergidae.